Molecule: long non-coding RNA, 194 nt
Organism: Alosa alosa (allis shad)
Lineage: Eukaryota; Metazoa; Chordata; Actinopteri; Clupeiformes; Clupeidae
Exons: 3
Source: RefSeq, a predicted model, not a curated record
GUCACUUUGGGGAAGAGGAGUUGGGGGAAGGAGAACCUACUGCCUGCUUCACUGUAUUGUCCCUAUUGUUUUGCAGAGAAUAAAAGCCCGCGAAUACAUCGUCAUCCCGUGUCACGUCAGUCACUCAAAAACAGCAAAUCACAACGCAGAGUGUAUUCCACCGGUCACACUAACUCUAGGGUUCCCAAACUCCA